UCUAGUGGUAAUGUCGUGGAGGUCACACCUGUUCCCAUCCCGAACACAGAAGUUAAGCUCCACAGAGCCGAUGGUACUCGGACCGCAGGGUCCCGGGAGAGUAGGACGUCGCUAGGC
Tumebacillus algifaecis is the source of this 117-nucleotide ribosomal RNA. NCBI's taxonomy places the organism in Bacteria, Bacillati, Bacillota, Bacilli, Caryophanales, Alicyclobacillaceae. The record is from Rfam.